Molecule: long non-coding RNA, 325 nt
Organism: Gadus chalcogrammus (walleye pollock)
Lineage: Eukaryota; Metazoa; Chordata; Actinopteri; Gadiformes; Gadidae
Exons: 3
Source: RefSeq, a predicted model, not a curated record
UGCUGUUGCCAGAAGAGGUUGUCUGUGAUGCUAUCUACUGAGGUUAAAGACUUUUUGAAGUAAAGAGGAGCAUCUCAUCUGAAACUGAUGUCUAUCAUGGAUAUUUAACUGAAGUUCUGUGAGUAUCCCAACUUAACCAUGAAGAUGAACUGCAAACUGUAAGUCAUUAAUUUCUCAUUACUCUUGGGCACAUUGAUGUAUUUUUGCUUCCUGGUGAGUUAACCCGUUGGCUAAAGGUUGAUCUGAGUAGUAAGGAUGUUUUAUUGGUUCAUUGGUUUCUUAGGUGUUUGGUUUAGGUUGGUUUUAAUGAUUUGUUAAAAUGGUU